UGAUAUAAGAGAUUCGCAUGGAUUUCUUAUCAAAGCUCCGGCGGUAUGAUAUGGACCCGCGUCUGAUUAGCUAGUUGGUAAGGUAACGGCUUACCAAGGCGACAAUGAGUAGCCGACCUGACAGGGUGAUCGGCCACAUUGGAACUGAGACACGGUCCAAACUCCUACGGGAGGCAUCAGUGGGGAAUAUUGCACAAUGGGCGAAAGCCUGAUGCAUCAACGCCGCGUGAGCGAUGAAGGCCUUCGGGUCGUAGAGCUCUGUCCUCAAGGAAGAUAAUGACGGUACUUGAGGAGGAAGCCCCGGCUAACUACGUGCCAGCAGCCGCGGUAAUACGUAGGGGGCUAGCGUUAUCCGGAUUUACUGGGCGUAGAGGGUGCGUAGGUGGUUUCUUAAUUCAGGAGUGAAAGGCUACGGCU
Molecule: ribosomal RNA, 417 nt
Filed under: uncultured bacterium
Lineage: Bacteria
Description: bacterial SSU rRNA
Rfam family: Bacterial small subunit ribosomal RNA
Source: RNAcentral